Long non-coding RNA from Mesocricetus auratus (golden hamster), 271 nucleotides. RefSeq lists it as uncharacterized. The transcript is spliced from 3 exons. The record is from RefSeq and is a predicted model, not a curated record. Lineage: Eukaryota; Metazoa; Chordata; Mammalia; Rodentia; Cricetidae.
UGAAGGGCUUGUGAGGACAGUGCCACUUCAGGUCACUGGGGCUUUGCUUCUCAGAGAGACACGAGGGAAGACAACAUUAUCCUUCUUGUAUGCGGGCAUUGGAGGCAGUCUGGCACCCUUGGGCCUGAAACAUCGCAAAUAUUGCUGGCCUCAAGCACUGAUUUCUUCAGCAAGAGAUGGAGACAGGUAUAGUGUUGAAGAAACUGGCCCAGAACCUGAAGUCUUGGCAUAAAAGACACAGCAUCUUGGUAAGGUUAUCCCCAAUGUGAAC